CCCUUAGAUGCUCUGGGCCGCACGCGCGCUACACUGGUCGAUGCAACGAGUUUCUUUCCUUGGCCGACAGGCCUGGGCAAUCUUUGAACAUCGAUCGUGAUCGGGAUAGAUUCUUGUAAUUUUUGAUCUUAAACGAGGAAUUCCUAGUAAACGCAAGUCAUCAGCUUGCAUUGAUUACGUCCCUGCCCUUUGUACACACCGCCCGUCGCACCUACCGAUUGAAUGGUCCGGUGAAAUCUCCGGACUGGCGUGAGUCGGAGCAAUCUGACAAACACCGGAAAGUUGAUUAAACCUUACCAUUUAGAGGAAGGUGAAGUCGUANCA
RNAcentral lists this ribosomal RNA (324 nucleotides) under uncultured eukaryote. RNAcentral describes it as "partial 18S ribosomal RNA". It matches the Rfam family "Eukaryotic small subunit ribosomal RNA", at positions 1470 to 1796 of the family's 1831-position model. The record is from RNAcentral.